Molecule: transfer RNA, 66 nt
Filed under: Bemisia afer
Lineage: Eukaryota; Metazoa; Arthropoda; Insecta; Hemiptera; Aleyrodidae
Description: tRNA-Val
Source: RNAcentral
GAAUAAAAUAACUAAAUUAAAGUAUGUCAAUUACACUGAUAGAAUGGUCUAAAAGACCUUUGUUCU